Molecule: ribosomal RNA, 425 nt
Filed under: uncultured bacterium
Lineage: Bacteria
Description: partial 16S ribosomal RNA
Rfam family: Bacterial small subunit ribosomal RNA
Source: RNAcentral
GUGGGGAAUAUUGGGCAAUGGGGGAAACCCCGACCCAGCAACGCCGCGUGAAGGAAGAAGGUUUUCGGAUCGUAAACUUCUAUCCUUGGUGAAGAUAAUGACGGUAGCCAAGAAGGAAGCCCCGGCUAACUACGUGCCAGCAGCCGCGGUAAUACGUAGGGGGCAAGCGUUGUCCGGAAUGAUUGGGCGUAAAGGGCGCGUAGGCGGCCUGGUAAGUCUGGAGUGAAAGUCCUGCUUUUAAGGUGGGAAUUGCUUUGGAUACUGUCGGGCUUGAGUGCAGGAGAGGUAAGCGGAAUUCCCGGUGUAGCGGUGAAAUGCGUAGAGAUCGGGAGGAACACCAGUGGCGAAGGCGGCUUACUGGACUGUAACUGACGCUGAGGCGCGAAAGUGUGGGGAGCAAACAGGAUUAGAUACCCCGGUAGUCC